AAUGUAUGACGCCGUAGACUUUUUAUCCAAUGUUUGACUAUUCGUCUUAUUUAAAAAAUUUAUGUAAUUAUUAUUUAUUUUAUUGUGAUUUGAUUCGUCAUCAAAUGUUCUUUAAGCAUGACAUAAAUAUUUUUAUAUUUACAUAAAAUUUUUAAAUAAAACGAAUGGUCAAACAUUGAUCGAAAUGUCAACGGAUUCAUACAUU
Non-coding RNA from Oryza glumipatula, 205 nucleotides. Lineage: Eukaryota; Viridiplantae; Streptophyta; Magnoliopsida; Poales; Poaceae. The record is from Rfam.